Molecule: small nuclear RNA, 98 nt
Filed under: Octodon degus (degu)
Lineage: Eukaryota; Metazoa; Chordata; Mammalia; Rodentia; Octodontidae
Source: RNAcentral
UAAUUAUAAGGCAAAUUAUUUUAAUAAUCUAAAAAAUAUUUAGAGCAUGGCCCCUGCGCAAGGAUGACAUGCAAAUUUGUGAUGUGUUCCAUAUUUUU